CGGCGCUUCCCUCACGGCGCUACGCUGUGUACGUCACGUCCUGACGCUGGCCUGGGCGGCGCCAUCUUGGGUAAGGGCACGGGCAAGUGAAUGGGGAACCGCCGCCAUCUUGAGUGAGGGCAGGAGGAAGGCAGAACCGCCGCCAUCUUGGGUGAGGGCAGAGGGAAAGGCGGAACCGCCGGCAUCUUGGGUGAGGGAAGGAGGAAGGUGGAACCGCCGCCAUCUUGGUGAGGGAAGGAGGAAGGCGGAACCGCCGCCAUCUUGGGUGAGGGCACAGGCCUUGUCCCCCAAAGUGUCGCCUGUCCCCAAAAGAUUUCCCCUCUCCCCCAAAAUCUCCGUAGUCCCCGAGUGUGUUCCCAAUUGCCUCUUUUCCCCAAGGUGUCCAUAAGAUGGCCCCCGUUCCCCCAAGGCGCUGACACGCGGAUGUUAAACUCCAGAAGCGGCGGAGCAGUUAUGAGAGCAGGUAUGAAUUUAUUCAGCGCUGAGGGAUCAUUCCUCCUGAGGCACGCACACCUCGGAGACUCCUUUCUCCCUUUUUUUAUUCUCUACAGACUAGGGUUACACCAUAUGCCUAAUACAUAUUCAUUUGCUAACCCUGCUUGUUCCUGUUUCCUAUUAAAAUUAGUAGGAAUCCAAAGAAUCCACAAAGAAUUGAAGGAACCCCCUCAUCCUGCGCCCAAUUUACAUAUUUCAUUUCACUCCUUAUCUUCAGUCUUUAUUCUCCUCCUGCCCUUACGGGAGCACUCAGCUCUUCACACGAGUUUUGUAGCCCCUUUUCUACUCAAAGCAUUUCUUUAUAGGCCAUUCCUAGUUGUUAAUUUCUGUGUUUGAGGCUGGGGUGAUGCCUGGCGCCCGGGGCUGGGUUUUGGGGCCAUGGCAGCGCCUCAAGUCCCGGCCUCACGGCGCUGGGGAAACGCCUCCUGUGCCAGGUUUGGGGUUUGUCCCGGGACAACACCUCGUGUGCCAGGUUUGGGGUUUGUCCCGGGACAACAGGUUUGGGGUUUCUCCUGGAACAACACCUUGUGUGCCAGGUUUGGGGCUUGUCCCGGAGCAACACCUCGUGUACCAGGUUUGGAGUUUCUCUUGGGCAGCACCGUAUGUGCCAGGUUUGGAGUUUCUCACAGAAUAACACCUCGUGUGCCACGUUUGGGGUUUGUCCCGGAGCAACACCUCCUGUGCCAGGUUUGGGGUUUGUCCCAGGACAACAGAUUUGGGGUUUGUCCUGGAGCAACAGGUUUGGGGUUUCUCCCAGGACAACGCCUCCUGUGCCAGGUUUGGGGUUUGUCCUGGGACAACACCUCGUGUGCCAGUUUUGGGGUUUCAUCCAGGACACCACCUCCUGUGCCAGUUUUGGGGUUUCAUCCAGGACACCACCUCCUGUGCCAGUUUUGGGGUUUCAUCCAGGACAACACCUCCUGUGCCAGUUUUGGGGUUCCUCCCGG
RNAcentral lists this long non-coding RNA (1442 nucleotides) under Cyanistes caeruleus (blue tit). RNAcentral's name for it is "lncRNA (ENSCCEG00000004209.1)". Lineage: Eukaryota; Metazoa; Chordata; Aves; Passeriformes; Paridae. The record is from RNAcentral.